UACGUAGGCAGCAAGCGUUGUUCGGAGUUACUGGGCGUAAAGGGUGUGUAGGCGGUUGUUUAAGUUUGGUGUGAAAUCUCCCGGCUCAACUGGGAGGGUGCGCCGAAUACUGAAUGACUAGAGUGUGGGAGAGGUAAGCGGAAUUCCUGGUGUAGCGGUGAAAUGCGUAGAUAUCAGGAGGAACACCUGCGGUGUAGACGGCUUACUGGACCAUGACUGACGCUGAGGCACGAAAGCGUGGGGAGCAAACAGG
RNAcentral lists this ribosomal RNA (253 nucleotides) under uncultured bacterium. RNAcentral's name for it is "partial 16S ribosomal RNA". It matches the Rfam family "Bacterial small subunit ribosomal RNA", at positions 524 to 776 of the family's 1533-position model. The record is from RNAcentral.